This 72-nucleotide transfer RNA is filed under the name Bos taurus (domestic cattle). It matches the Rfam family "tRNA". Rfam says of the family: Transfer RNA (tRNA) molecules are approximately 80 nucleotides in length. The record is from Rfam by way of RNAcentral. Lineage: Eukaryota; Metazoa; Chordata; Mammalia; Artiodactyla; Bovidae. RNAcentral also lists the same sequence under 2 other names.
UCCCUGGUGGCUCAGAUGGUAAAGCAUCUGCCUACAAUGCAGAUGCUUUGGGUUCGAUCCCUGGGUCGGGAA